Molecule: long non-coding RNA, 889 nt
Filed under: Phascolarctos cinereus (koala)
Lineage: Eukaryota; Metazoa; Chordata; Mammalia; Diprotodontia; Phascolarctidae
Description: lncRNA (ENSPCIG00000036496.1)
Source: RNAcentral
AAACAACUCAAUUUUCCUUCCUUCUCAAGCAUAAUUUUUCACAAUGUCUUCACAGCCACAAAGGAGACUCAUGAGCCUGGAAAUCCUCUGGGAAUCCUGUGAAUGGAACCGCCCACACCCACACCUGCAGCCACAUCUGGAAAUGGCUGUGCUUGGCUAUAGGACCCAACAUGUAAGAUUUUGGGGUGCUUUUUCUCAACCCUGGCUGUUCUCCAUCCUUCUGGAUUGGGGGAAGGGGAGAUUUGCAGAACUGUGUCUGAUCUCUUUUAUGGAGGAACUCCAUUCCCAGCCCAGUUUGGGAGUCAUGUCCUCUUUCCCCAGAAUGACAGGAAGGAUUUGGUUAAGGAUUGACAAGAGACCUAGCUGCAGCAGAGGUAUGCCACAGGAGAGGUCAGAAGGUGCCAGGAUUAACAAUAGUUACCAGGACUGACUGCUGAUUUUACCCAUCCUGCUUCAAGAUGGGAUAGCCAAAGCCAGAGACUCCCUGCUGGGGACCAGAUACUUGAGACCACAGGAAACAUCAACCUUCCUGAGUUCCAUUUCACACUAAAUCCUGAGUUCCACAGUCUUGAGGUUCAGAGUUCCUACAGAGGUCUAACCUUUUUAAUCCAAAAUGGCAGGUCAAUUGAUCUUCCUUUGCAGGUUAGAAGGGGAGUGGCAGUAGGGACCUAAGCAAAUUCAAAUAGCAUUAGAAUUCCUGGGUCAAAGUAGCUUCUGCAUUGCCUGAGGUAGGGGGGAUGGGGAUGCUGACAGGAUUUAGGAGAGUGACAGGCUUGCUACUGUUUGGUGUAUAUGUAUUUUAUUGUUUUAUUGUACGUGGUGUUCUAGUUACUAUGUGCUAUUUAAGUACUUAUCAAUUCUGUACUGAAUAAAUAUGUGCCUUUUUACA